GAUUAUGGCUCAGGAUGAACGCUGGCGGCGUGCUUAACACAUGCAAGUCGAACGAAGCAACUUAUUACGAUCCCUUCGGGGUGACGAUUGUUGACUGAGUGGCGGACGGGUGAGUAACGCGUGGGUAACCUACCUUGUACAGGGGGACAACAGUUGGAAACGACUGCUAAUACCGCAUAAGCGCACAGCUUCGCAUGAAGCAGUGUGAAAAGUUAUUUCGGUACAAGAUGGACCCGCGUCUGAUUAGCUAGUUGGUGAGGUAACGGCCCACCAAGGCGACGAUCAGUAGCCGACCUGAGAGGGUGACCGGCCACAUUGGGACUGAGACACGGCCCAAACUCCUACGGGAGGCAGCAGUGGGGAAUAUUGCACAAUGGGCGAAAGCCUGAUGCAGCGAACCGCCGCGUGAGCGAAGAAGUAUUUCGGUAUGUAAAGCUCUAUCAGCAGGGAAGAUAAUGACGGUACCUGACUAAGAAGCACCGGCUAAAUACGUGCCAGCAGCUGC
RNAcentral lists this ribosomal RNA (505 nucleotides) under uncultured bacterium. Its description in RNAcentral is "bacterial SSU rRNA". It matches the Rfam family "Bacterial small subunit ribosomal RNA", at positions 15 to 518 of the family's 1533-position model. The record is from RNAcentral.